Rhopilema esculentum is the source of this 3880-nucleotide non-coding RNA. The record is from RefSeq and is a predicted model, not a curated record. NCBI's taxonomy places the organism in Eukaryota, Metazoa, Cnidaria, Scyphozoa, Rhizostomeae, Rhizostomatidae.
CAAUUUCAUGUUUUUUAAACCUACACUUGAUAAUUAAUUCUCAAAUCCUGAAGUAUUUCUUUGUGGUGCUACCACAAAAUUAAGGUACUUGAAAGCAAUGGAGUCAAACAUGAAGUCACAAAAUGAACUUUGCUUACAGUAUAUCCUCAAGAUAUUGGGUACUUAAGGGUUGUAGAUUACACUUGAUUUUUUAUAUUGUUUAAAGACACAGCAGAUAUAUUGAAUGUCUUGUGUUAGGUGUCUGGGCAAGCGAAAAAAACAGCCAACAAGUAUUGGUUGUGAAAUUUGGCAUGUGAUUGCUUGUUCAUCUUUUGUGUUGUUCUCUUUGUCAAACAAUAGAAAAUUAUUUGAGGGGCAAUAGGAAGCCACUUGAUAUUUUCAUGUUUGAUAAACACAGAAAAAAUGGGGAAGCAUUGUUUGGCAGCUCAUAAUUUCAUGUCAGCAUAGAUUGUUAGGCUUGUUUUCAGGCUAACAUGAGCAGUGCUUCCAGGACAUUUCAACAAUUAAGCUGUUUUUAAACAACUUCACUUUAUAAUGGUUUUCUGUCUUUAAACUUUUGAUGCAACCCUCGUCUGACCUUGUUUUGAAGUAUACAGAGUAUACAAAAGUGAUCAACAUAAGCAUAUUUUAUUUUUGUUAAAAUUUUUAUUUCUGUUGCGUUUAUGGCUCACACAAAAGAUUUUCUGAAGAAAUGCACAUCUAAGUCUAUAAGCCUUUUUGUUUUCUGAUUGUUGCCUAUAUGUAUACUGUAUUUCCUCCAAUCAAUUCCAAACCUUAAAUAGAUUCUGCAGCAGUCAAAUUUUAAGUUUAUGUGCACUAUUGAAUAGAGACUUAUGAUUUUUGACUAGUUAUUUUUUACGAAGUAUGUUUGUUAAUUUCUGGUUAUAAGGUAAAAACAUAUUUGUUCUCCUUCCAAAGAAAUCCUAAAGAUACAAAUAUCAUGCUUAUUGGAACUCUCUCAUAGUCUAAACAUUUGAUCAUUUAAAUGAUUUGCUCAAUGUUCUAUCAUGCAAAACUCAUUUAUCUCUUAGAUAUUUUCUUGUAUACUUGAUUUUUAUAAUUAAUUCCCUUUUGUCUUUGAUACCUCCAUCACUUUAACACCCUCCCCAACUUUUGGGGGAAAAUGCUUGUUGAGCGAAUGAAAUAUGGAAAUAUAUACAGUUCAUAAGCAUAUUUGCUUUUUUAACAUGGGAUUAUAAAAAUUCUCAAAUCUCUCUAUGAAUCUAUAUGUUCAGAAUAGAUUUAGAUAAAGAACUGAAUAGAUGACAGAAGCCUAAUUAAUGCUUUGCCCAAAAAACUGAAAUCUAAGAUUUCAUUUGCUGUGAAUGUGAGAGCAAAAGUGAGAUGGUCACAAUUUAUGCAAGUUCAUUGAUGUCACUGAAACAUCAUCCUCCUUGAAGCAUGUUUAUUUUUUUCAAAAAAUGAAUGAAGAUGUAAUUAAUGUGACAUAUCAUGUUAUGCAAAACUUUUUGAAAGCCAAAUAUUUAUCAAAACUUUGCCUGCAUUUUCAGUAAAGAAAAUCCUUUCUAUUGAACUGAACAGGUUAUAAUUUUGAGAUCCUUACUUUUCUAUAUGUUUUCUUGAAUUCUCCAGAUAGCAUUUUUAAUACUUGCAUAAUCAGUAAUUCUAUUCAUUCUAUCCCUUAAUAUCCAUUCAUUCUAUCUCUUUACUUAUUCUUUCACCUUUUGCUCUUUUUAUUCAUUUUUGCUCUUUCAUGCAUGGUCAGAAAAGGUACACCUCCCUGAGCUGUGAAUAGGCAGGAAUUUACCUCAUUUUGAAAGAUAGGAGAUCACAUUCUCCUUGUGGUCCCCAAUUCCCAUAUCUGUGUAUCCUUGUGUUAUGUUGCACCUACAAGGUUGCCCUAAUAAGUUACAAGGAACACUUUAAACGCAUCAAUUGCCCAAAUAAGUAAAACUGAAUUGCUUUGAUUAAUAACAUUGCAGCUUCUUACAUAUGAAAUGAAGUAUAAGCCCAAAUAAUGUGUCUGGUUUUGAUGAGUAUUAUUGCUGGAAAUGUCAUUGCUACAUUCUAAAUAAUUGAUGAAAUGUUUGAUUUGAAUAAUGGACAUCUAGUGUGUCAAUUUUGAAAACAAAAAAGAUUUAUCUUCUUGCUGAAUUUCACAUACUCAAGAAUGUUAUACUUAAGUAUACAAGCCAGCAGGUGUUACAGUUUUCUAUGAAUUAUGCAAAGGCUUAAAUCAGAUACCCUCAUACCAAAUGUAUGGGCUGAUAAAGAUUAGUCCCUGCUGCAUUUGGUAUGGUCCAGCUGUAACAAGUCUCUCCCCAAAACAAGUGUGACUCACUUCUUAUGAUGUCUGAUGUUUCAUAACUGUGUUCGUUUCUUUGUUUGCUUUUUGUUUAUUGACUGAAAAUUCUCAUAAUCAUAUUUUAAACUGCAAAAUUUUGUCAUAUGAUUAUGCAAUGACUAAAUCAGGCCAUGCUUGAUUUCCUUCAUAAUUAAGCAUAAAUUUUGGAAAUGAUAAUCAUAUAUGUUAGACAUUUACAUUACCAAAUAAGCCUUUGGCACAUUUACAUUAGCAAGAAGGUUGGGACCCAGGUCCCACUAGGGCUUUGAAUUGUAGCUUCAUGUUUUCGAUCACAGUUAGUAGGGACCUUAUUUGUGCCCCAUUUAUGUAUCUGCUUGAAGCCAUCAUUCUAUGGAUGUGACAGAUUUUGAUGACAAUCUAUCGACCCAGUCAUUAACAUGGAUUUAUUGAGCCAGUAAAUGUGUUGCCUUCUGCAAUAUAUAAUAAGCCAAUUGUCGAUUCUUGGAGCAACAAGGUUUCUAAUUCUUUUUAACGGAUCGUCUUGCACUCGUCUUUCACAGCUCAAGCAGGGUAUUUUCAACUUUUCUUACAAUCUUACUGUAUCCAUAUUCGCUACUUUGCCGCGUACACUACUGAAUUCCGAAUUAUAAAUGGCUCUUUGUUUUUUGUGGGUCUAUUUAUGGUGAAAACAGUUACUUUGAUUGUUUAGGGUUCUAUUCUAGUCCAAGAACAAACGCUUGCAGCUUUGAAGUUCAGACACUGGCGAAAACGCAUAAAUCAUGGCGCCAAUGAGAAUCUCUGUAUCCAAAUCGGAGUUGCUUUGGCAUUGUUUUGUGUUUUGUUUUCUUUAUGUGUAUUACUAUAGAAAAGUUUCAAUCCCGUCGCUGGAAACAUCAGGGAUGAGAAGAAACCAGAGGAGGUGCGAAGCUAGGCGGCGCAUGCGCAUUUCGAUGUUUUUCCUGAAGAAGCUCAUGGCCGACAUUUGCGAAAUUUGCGGUACAAUUUCAAACGGCCUGGGGCACAAAUGAAUAUAUAUCCUAAUGGUGCAAAAUGAAUCAAGACAUGUGAAAAACACAGGCACUCUAAAAAAGGAGAGAAUUUCCUUUGCUACGUUGAAAACCCAUUUCAGAAGCACUCAUCACAGCAGAUAAAGCAUGUCCAGCAAGCAAGACCCUCCAGACCAGGCAGACUUAACAAAAAAUACUUAGAGAAAACAACUUAUAUAAUUAGAAAAAGCUGGUCGAACUCCUAUUAUACCUAUGCCUUGCAGUGAUACACUGUUUGAUGUAAUUGCUCACUGGCCUCAGACAGCAGAGAAGAAACAUGGAUGUUGAUGUCAUUGUGCUAAUGGAUAUUCAAAGAUAUAUUGCAGCAAGUGUCAAGUUUGCCUAUGUCUGAGAUGUUGGAGAAUUGUUUUGCUAACUAUUAUGCAAAUAAAACUUUUAUCAUGAAGCAUAUAUAUACUUCUUUUCAAAUAAUAUGCAAAGCACUUUAUUAUAAACAGAACAAAAUGCAACUAAUAAAAUAUGAAAGUUUUCAAUUUAUGUUAAUGUCACAAGUGUAGAUACAUGUAUUCCUACUGUUGAUUUUUGAUUGAUGGAAUGUCUUCCAGUG